RNAcentral lists this transfer RNA (71 nucleotides) under Sarotherodon galilaeus (mango tilapia). RNAcentral describes it as "tRNA-Phe". It matches the Rfam family "tRNA". Rfam says of the family: Transfer RNA (tRNA) molecules are approximately 80 nucleotides in length. Their secondary structure includes four short double-helical elements and three loops (D, anti-codon, and T loops). Lineage: Eukaryota; Metazoa; Chordata; Actinopteri; Cichliformes; Cichlidae. The record is from RNAcentral.
AUGCUAGCGUAGCUUAACUAAAGCAUAACACUGAAGAUGUUAAGACGGACCCUAGAAAGGUCCCGUAAGCA